AAAGUCGUAACAAGGUUUCCGUAGGUGAACCUGCGGAAGGAUCAUUAACAAAUUCCAAAACUCGUGUUUGACUGAGAUCUUCUUGGGUGUUGCAGGGUGUCCCCACGUGGGCCAUCCGGAUGCUUGAGAUCCUCAGUCAGUUACAACACAAAAACUCACAUUAACAAUUGACAACCAAGAGUAAACCAAAACUUAAAUCGAAACAACUUUUAACAAUGGAUCUCUCGGCUCUU
RNAcentral lists this unclassified non-coding RNA (233 nucleotides) under Basidiomycota sp. Its description in RNAcentral is "partial contains small subunit ribosomal RNA, internal transcribed spacer 1, and 5.8S ribosomal RNA". The stretch from base 1 to 47 matches the Rfam family "Eukaryotic small subunit ribosomal RNA", at positions 1785 to 1831 of the family's 1831-position model. The record is from RNAcentral. Lineage: Eukaryota; Fungi; Basidiomycota.